Molecule: ribosomal RNA, 560 nt
Filed under: Salmonella enterica
Lineage: Bacteria; Pseudomonadati; Pseudomonadota; Gammaproteobacteria; Enterobacterales; Enterobacteriaceae
Description: partial 23S ribosomal RNA
Rfam family: Bacterial large subunit ribosomal RNA
Source: RNAcentral
UAACCGGGCGUUAAGUUGCAGGGUAUAGACCCGAAACCCGGUGAUCUAGCCAUGGGCAGGUUGAAGGUUGGGUAACACUAACUGGAGGACCGAACCGACUAAUGUUGAAAAAUUAGCGGAUGACCUGUGGCUGGGGGUGAAAGGCCAAUCAAACCGGGAGAUAGCUGGUUCUCCCCGAAAGCUAUUUAGGUAGCGCCUCGUGAAUUCAUCUCCGGGGGUAGAGCACUGUUUCGGCUAGGGGGCCAUCCCGGCUUACCAACCCGAUGCAAACUGCGAAUACCGGAGAAUGUUAUCACGGGAGACACACGGCGGGUGCUAACGUCCGUCGUGAAGAGGGAAACAACCCAGACCGCCAGCUAAGGUCCCAAAGUCAUGGUUAAGUGGGAAACGAUGUGGGAAGGCCCAGACAGCCAGGAUGUUGGCUUAGAAGCAGCCAUCAUUUAAAGAAAGCGUAAUAGCUCACUGGUCGAGUCGGCCUGCGCGGAAGAUGUAACGGGGCUAAACCAUGCACCGAAGCUGCGGCAGCGACGCUUAUGCGUUGUUGGGUAGGGGAGCGUUCU